Molecule: non-coding RNA, 148 nt
Filed under: Chlorocebus sabaeus (green monkey)
Lineage: Eukaryota; Metazoa; Chordata; Mammalia; Primates; Cercopithecidae
Source: Rfam by way of RNAcentral
GCCGGGCAUGGUGGUGUGUGCCUGUAAUCCCAGCUACUUGGGAGGCUGAGGUGGGAGAAUUGCUUGCGCCUGGGAGGCAGAGGUUGCCGUGAGCCGAGAUUAUGCCACUACACUCCAGCCUGGGCGACAGAGUGAGACUCCAUCUCAA